Molecule: long non-coding RNA, 1094 nt
Filed under: Malus domestica (apple)
Lineage: Eukaryota; Viridiplantae; Streptophyta; Magnoliopsida; Rosales; Rosaceae
Description: long non-coding RNA (MDOM_LNC014665)
Source: RNAcentral
AUCGAUGACACAUCAUUUAGUUUGACAAAAUUUUCCUGGCAUUACCCCUUCAUUAAAGUUUUAGGAAGAUGGCAAAAGUGUAUAUUUAGCUAAUCUUUAUUUAUUUUUUGUUAGUCUCUCAAAAUAUUCUGAUGGGGAAACUUAGAAAGAAUAAGACUUUUCAAUUGAUUUUUUAUACUUUACAACAAGAACUUAACAAGCGUUUAAUCCAACCACUCCAAUCGCAUGACCUCAGACCCGAGACCCAACCAUGUGCCUAAAACCCAAGAGAAUCCGAACUCAAUAAUUUGGAACACCAGUGCAUUUUUCAUUAAUCCAAUUCCUCAUUCUUGUGUAGCCCCAAACAUGACAUUAGACUAAUGUUAUCCUUUCCAAUCCCACGUAAACUACUGCACUAAUCCAAUCCCAGUCCCUUAACAUGGUCAUGAGGAAAAGCUUUGUGUUGGAAUUUGAGUGUGGUGUUUAUUCAUCAUGUGAUGCAAACUCAAACCAGUUAAUUAUUCCGAGCACUAAGUAGAGAAUGAUCAGAGUCAGAGUGAGAGACCACUUUUCCUUUUAGAGGAUGAUGGACGUUGAAACAUGUCUUUCCCAACAUGGGGGACAAGGAACGGUGACUUGACUUCUUUCAUUCUUUGUGGGGUUAAUGACUUAAUGGGAUUUGAACCAACUCAGUUUCUGUUGAGAAAAUUAAAUUAAUUAAAAUUAACUUCAAUAAGUCUCGUAUUUUAGGGUUUGUAAGUAUAUAAAUCAGAUGAUGGUAUAACAAAUAAGCAUAAAUAUUGUCCCCCACAGUCACACAGAUCGAAUUGAUCCUAAAAGUUUUACUAAGCAAAUUGAAACAAAUCAUAGUUGAUAAGCUUUAACAUAAAAGUGAGAAGAUUUGAAUUAAACUGGAAAUUUAAAUUAAGCUUGAAAAUAAACACAUUGAAAUAAUAAUUUAAAAACAAACCAGACCUAGGGCAUCCGAAUUUACCGUAACCAAUUCUACUUAAUCCCCUUAAUAUGCUAUGAACAAGUAAUUACCCAAUAUUGAUAAUCGAUUUUCUCCAAGUUAUUUAAUGGUCAUGGCAUCUACUUAAUCCCCUAAGUGCAUG